GUCUAUGGCCAUGUCACUCUGAACAAGCCCGAUCCCAUCUGAUCUCGGAAGCUAAGCAGGGUCGGGCCUGGUUAGUACUUGAAUGGGAGACCACCUAGGAAGACCGGGUGCUGUAGGCA
RNAcentral lists this ribosomal RNA (119 nucleotides) under Pteropus alecto (black flying fox). The record is from RNAcentral. Lineage: Eukaryota; Metazoa; Chordata; Mammalia; Chiroptera; Pteropodidae.